RNAcentral lists this ribosomal RNA (460 nucleotides) under uncultured bacterium. RNAcentral describes it as "partial 16S ribosomal RNA". It matches the Rfam family "Bacterial small subunit ribosomal RNA", at positions 338 to 795 of the family's 1533-position model. The record is from RNAcentral.
CCUACGGGUGGCUGCAGUGAGGAAUAUUGGUCAAUGGACGAGAGUCUGAACCAGCCACGUAGCGUGAAGGAUGACUGCCCUCUGGGUUGUAAACUUCUUUUAUAUGGGAAUACAAUGUUCCACGUGUGGGAUUUCGUAUGUACCAUAUGAAUACGGAUCGGCUAACUCCGCGCCAGCAGCCGCGGGAAUACGGAGGAUCCGAGCUUUAACCGGUUUUAUUGGGUUUAAAGGGAGCGUAGGUGGAUUGUUAAGUCAGUUGGGAAAGUUUGCGGCUCAACCGUAAGAUUGCAGUUGAUACUGGCAGUCUUGAGUACAGUAGAGGUGAGCGGAAUUCGUGGUGUAGCGGUGAAAUGCGUAGAUAUCACGAAGAACUCCGAUUGCGAAGGCAGCUCACUGGACUGCAACUGACACUGAGGCUCGAAAGUGUGGGUAUCAAACAGGAUUAGAUACCCCUGUAGUC